Long non-coding RNA from Homo sapiens (human), 749 nucleotides. Ensembl annotates it as HAND2 antisense RNA 1. Its record names the gene HAND2-AS1. The record is from Ensembl. NCBI's taxonomy places the organism in Eukaryota, Metazoa, Chordata, Mammalia, Primates, Hominidae.
GUAAAUUAGAGGGAGGCGAGGGCCUGCGGCGCCAGCGCGGGACAGGGCGGCCUGGGGCUCGCCGCUGGUCAGGCCAGGUUAGCCCAAGGGAGACCAAAGACUCCACCUUGAGCAUCGCCCUUUGGAGGCGGGCAGAGUCCGGCCGCAGGCCACAAAGCGAUCCCCACCCGAAGGACUCCACAAGGACAGUCCUUUCCUUGCUCACCGCCGACAAAGUGGUUGGGGCAGGAAGGCGAGAAGGCACAGAUCAUUCAUGGGGAUGUAUAACCGAAACCAGUCCUCUCCACCGCCUGGGGAUCUUCACUUUCGCAGUCUACGACUGCCUGUGACUCCAGAAAGACAAACUGCAGAUUGGCCAAGGUACAUCUCAGAUCAGAUCCCUCUGGGAAAAGCGCGGGAAUGCUUGGCUCUAGUAGUUAGGAGCUCUGGUGAGAGCGCCCCUAGUGCCAUUUUCCCAUCCCUGCCCUUGACAGUCCCCUUUGGUCUAAAUUCACGGUUCUAGACAGUCAAAGUCUACCUGCUGGGUGUCCACUCUCAAGCCAUAGGUUUUCAAUCCUAAAAGGGAUUAGGACCUUGGCUCAAAAUGUGGUCAACGCAGUGUUCAAAUUAGGAGGGCAGCUGGGAGAUGGCAGCAGGGGAUGAAAGUAUGACUCCUACUUCGUCCGCAACUGUGGGUCUGGCACCUCUUGACUUGCCAGUAUGCUGGCAAACAACCCAUCUCUCUUGGAGAAUCCACACUUCGUUUCUUC